RNAcentral lists this ribosomal RNA (254 nucleotides) under uncultured bacterium. Its description in RNAcentral is "partial 16S ribosomal RNA". It matches the Rfam family "Bacterial small subunit ribosomal RNA", at positions 524 to 776 of the family's 1533-position model. The record is from RNAcentral.
UACGUAGGGUCCAAGCGUUACCCGGAAUCACUGGGCGUAAAGCGCGCGUAGGCGGAUGUUUAAGUGCAAUGCGAAAUCCUGUGGCUCAACCAUAUGGACUGUAUUGCAUACUGGAUAUCUGGAGGAAUGCAGAGGCAAGUGGAAUUACCGGUGUAGCAGUGAAAUGCGUAGAGAUCGGUAGGAACACCAAUGGCGAAGGCAGCUUGCUGGGCAUUUUCUGACGCUAAGGCACGAAAGCGUGGGGAGCGAACAGG